GGAUUGACUGAUUGAUUAAUUAACAGAUUGACUGGUGACUGAGUUCCUGACUUGUUUACUGACAGACCUUACUGUCACUGCUUCCUGCGAAGAACUCAAAGACUUAUGUCAUAGAGCCUCCUACUUAAGUAAAAAAGCUGUUAACUGACAUUUCAUUUUCUUUUUCCAAAAGGAGCUUAGUUUAAUACAGUAAAUGUACAAGUAACAAAAGUAGAUUCAAUAUCCACCUUUGGAGAUUUUCAUGUUUUCACUUCAGGUGAUGACUACACACUGUUCUCUGACCUUUUCUCACGUGUGAAGCACUUUCAAAAGUCUUUCAAAACAUUUUGUUCCUGGAAGUAGCCCUGUUUCUAGUAGGUACUACAGGAUGCUUUUGGCAACAAAGAACAUAAUAAGUUAUUUAUUUCACAAGCAAGAAAAUAAAGUGGCUUUUUCAAAUCUUAGAGACUCGAUUUUAAUUCUAACUUGGUCAUUCUUCCUUGUUUUUUCUUCUUUUUGUUAUGUAUUGUAUUACUUAGAGAAACACCUUUAAAACUCUCUCAAAACCUUCAUUUUUUUCUGCAGAGUAGGUUCUCAUUUUCUAAGGUUGUUAAUCCGAUUGCUAUUAAUAUCAGGCCAACACUGCACCAUGGGCCCAGAUAUAAUCAGAUACAGCAUUACAUUACAAAGCAGGGAGAGGAGGAGGAGGAGGGAGGGAGGCUGAACUUUGUCCCAGUUCCCUGGCUGCUUGUUGUUGCAGCUGAAGGGAACAGCACGUUCAGUUCUGCAGCUUCACUGUUGAAUGACAAACAAAGUCACACUUUCAGCGUGACUCAUAAGAAGAUAGUUACUGUAGAAGAUUCUGAAAGGUUGAACUCCGGUAAUAACAUGAGGCUCUUCCACAGAAUGUUGCUUUAAAAAAAAAAAAAAAAAAAGGGUAGACCAUUAUGAAAGUAACAUUUUGGGCAUGAACUGCCAUUCUGCAGGCCACAUUUGACUUGAUGAUGCAAAAGGUAAAUGAUCUGCUUAUAUUUACAGUAUUUUCAACGUUUUGAGGCUAAUUCAAGAUGUGUUGGCUUCUAAUGUUGCUGAUCUUGGGAGGUUUGGCACAUACAGGAAUGCACAGAAAGGUUGUUUUAGGCCUUUACAACUGACAUGAUCUAUUAAGUUAUAGAACUUGGGAAAACAUAACAGGACUAGCUGAGUGAAAUAAGAGAACGAUUAUGAGACGGUGCUCCAUGACUUUUGUGACUCGUGGUAUUUGAAAAUGUCCACCGAUGGAAAUGCGAUAGUGUGAUGUGAUAUUUUAAAGACCCAGAAGGUGGUUU
Molecule: long non-coding RNA, 1307 nt
Organism: Sander lucioperca (pikeperch)
Lineage: Eukaryota; Metazoa; Chordata; Actinopteri; Perciformes; Percidae
Exons: 2
Source: RefSeq, a predicted model, not a curated record